Molecule: ribosomal RNA, 253 nt
Filed under: uncultured bacterium
Lineage: Bacteria
Description: partial 16S ribosomal RNA
Rfam family: Bacterial small subunit ribosomal RNA
Source: RNAcentral
UACGGGGGGGGCAAGCGUUGUUCGGAAUUACUGGGCGUAAAGGGCUCGUAGGCGGCCAACUAAGUCAGACGUGAAAUCCCUCGGCUUAACCGGGGAACUGCGUCUGAUACUGGAUGGCUUGAGAUUGGGAGAGGGAUGCGGAAUUCCAGGUGUAGCGGUGAAAUGCGUAGAUAUUGGGAGGAACACCAGUGGCGAAGGCGGCUCACUGGACCGGUACUGACGCUGAGGCGCGAAAGCGUGGGGAGCAAACGGG